RNAcentral lists this ribosomal RNA (533 nucleotides) under Bifidobacterium pseudocatenulatum. RNAcentral describes it as "bacterial SSU rRNA". It matches the Rfam family "Bacterial small subunit ribosomal RNA", at positions 153 to 698 of the family's 1533-position model. The record is from RNAcentral. Lineage: Bacteria; Bacillati; Actinomycetota; Actinomycetes; Bifidobacteriales; Bifidobacteriaceae.
GAAACGGGUGGUAAUGCCGGAUGCUCCGACUCCUCGCAUGGGGUGUCGGGAAAGAUUUCAUCGGUAUGGGAUGGGGUCGCGUCCUAUCAGGUAGUCGGCGGGGUAACGGCCCACCGAGCCUACGACGGGUAGCCGGCCUGAGAGGGCGACCGGCCACAUUGGGACUGAGAUACGGCCCAGACUCCUACGGGAGGCAGCAGUGGGGAAUAUUGCACAAUGGGCGCAAGCCUGAUGCAGCGACGCCGCGUGCGGGAUGACGGCCUUCGGGUUGUAAACCGCUUUUGAUCGGGAGCAAGCCUUCGGGUGAGUGUACCUUUCGAAUAAGCACCGGCUAACUACGUGCCAGCAGCCGCGGUAAUACGUAGGGUGCAAGCGUUAUCCGGAAUUAUUGGGCGUAAAGGGCUCGUAGGCGGUUCGUCGCGUCCGGUGUGAAAGUCCAUCGCUUAACGGUGGAUCUGCGCCGGGUACGGGCGGGCUGGAGUGCGGUAGGGGAGACUGGAAUUCCCGGUGUAACGGUGGAAUGUGUAGAUAUC